GCUGCACACACUGAUAGCUCAGUUGGCUAGAGCAUGGUGCUGAUAACGCCAAGGUUGCAGGUUCAAUCCCAGUAUGGGGCAGCU
Molecule: transfer RNA, 84 nt
Filed under: Podarcis lilfordi (Lilford's wall lizard)
Lineage: Eukaryota; Metazoa; Chordata; Lepidosauria; Squamata; Lacertidae
Description: tRNA.Ile
Rfam family: tRNA (bases 8-81)
About the family: Transfer RNA (tRNA) molecules are approximately 80 nucleotides in length.
Source: RNAcentral